This 553-nucleotide ribosomal RNA is filed under the name Saccharomyces cerevisiae (brewer's yeast). Its description in RNAcentral is "partial large subunit ribosomal RNA". It matches the Rfam family "Eukaryotic large subunit ribosomal RNA", at positions 86 to 655 of the family's 3401-position model. The record is from RNAcentral. Lineage: Eukaryota; Fungi; Ascomycota; Saccharomycetes; Saccharomycetales; Saccharomycetaceae.
ACGGCGAGUGAAGCGGCAAAGCUCAAUUUGAAAUCUGGUACCUUCGGUGCCCGAGUUGUAAUUUGGAGAGGGCAACUUUGGGGCCGUUCCUUGUCUAUGUUCCUUGGAACAGGACGUCAUAGAGGGUGAGAAUCCCGUGUGGCGAGGAGUGCGGUUCUUUGUAAAGUGCCUUCGAAGAGUCGAGUUGUUUGGGAAUGCAGCUCUAAGUGGGUGGUAAAUUCCAUCUAAAGCUAAAUAUUGGCGAGAGACCGAUAGCGAACAAGUACAGUGAUGGAAAGAUGAAAAGAACUUUGAAAAGAGAGUGAAAAAGUACGUGAAAUUGUUGAAAGGGAAGGGCAUUUGAUCAGACAUGGUGUUUUGUGCCCUCUGCUCCUUGUGGGUAGGGGAAUCUCGCAUUUCACUGGGCCAGCAUCAGUUUUGGUGGCAGGAUAAAUCCAUAGGAAUGUAGCUUGCCUCGGUAAGUAUUAUAGCCUGUGGGAAUACUGCCAGCUGGGACUGAGGACUGCGACGUAAGUCAAGGAUGCUGGCAUAAUGGUUAUAUGCCGCCCGUCUU